RNAcentral lists this ribosomal RNA (451 nucleotides) under uncultured bacterium. RNAcentral describes it as "partial 16S ribosomal RNA". It matches the Rfam family "Bacterial small subunit ribosomal RNA", at positions 29 to 523 of the family's 1533-position model. The record is from RNAcentral.
AGCGAACGCUGGCGGCAGGCUUAACACGUGCAAGUCGAGCGGGCGUAGCAAUCCGUCAGCGGCAGACGGGCGAGUAACACGUGGGAACGUACCUUUUGGUUCGGAACAACUGAUGGAAACUUCAGCUAAUACCGGAUAAGCCCUAACGGGGAAAGAUUUAUCGCCGCAAGAUCGGCCCGCGUCUGAUUAGCUAGUUGGUGAGGUAAUGGCUCACCAAGGCGACGAUCAGUAGCUGGUCUGAGAGGAUGACCAGCCACACUGGGACUGAGACACGGCCCAGACUCCUACGGGAGGCAGCAGUGGGGAAUAUUGGACAAUGGGGGCAACCCUGAUCCAGCCAUGCCGCGUGAGUGAUGAAGGCCCUAGGGUUGUAAAGCUCUUUUGUGCGGGAAGAUAAUGACGGUACCGCAAGAAUAAGCCCCGGCUAACUUCGUGCCAGCCGCGGCCGUAA